UACAGAGGUGGCAAGCGUUGUUCGGAAUUACUGGGCGUAAAGGGCGCGUAGGCGGCCUACUAAGUCAGACGUGAAAUCCCCCGGCUUAACCUGGGAACUGCGUCUGAUACUGGAAGGCUUGAGUAUGGGAGAGGGAUGUAGAAUUCCAGGUGUAGCGGUGAAAUGCGUAGAUAUCUGGAGGAAUACCGGUGGCGAAGGCGGCAUCCUGGACCAGUACUGACGCUGAGGCGCGAAAGCGAGGGGAGCAAACGGG
RNAcentral lists this ribosomal RNA (253 nucleotides) under uncultured bacterium. RNAcentral's name for it is "partial 16S ribosomal RNA". It matches the Rfam family "Bacterial small subunit ribosomal RNA", at positions 524 to 776 of the family's 1533-position model. The record is from RNAcentral.